UACAUGAGUAACGAGCGUUAUUCCCUGUUGUUGGGUGUUAAAAAUCUUUCGGCAGUAUUUAUUAUCAAUUACUAACUAAAACAUUAUAAUGAAUUAUUAUUUUAUGUAUUUUUAGGGGUAAAAUCCUUUUCAAGAAAUACAAAAAAUCUAAUGACGGAAGUAUUACUUUACUAUAAUGUUUUGCCUUAGAAGAUGACAGUAUAGGUUGUGGCGAGGAUUCGGGACCCUUUUAAUCUAUACCGUAAAUUAUGAUUAUCCCUUUUUUAGGUUGCUAACGCAAGAAUAAUCUACCUGGGGCUUAAAACCGCAAGGUUUAAACUUAAAAAAAUUGGCGGGACUUAUUAUACGGUGGAACAUGUGAUUUAAUGCGGGAAUCCUCGCAAAAUCUUACUAGAGAAAUAAAUAGUGCUAGUUAAUAUGCAUAAACAAAUAUGACACUAUUUGUUAGGUAUUGCAUGGCUGUCGUCAGUUCGUGCUGUGAAGUGUAGUUUUUUCGAACUUAACGAACUUUCAACUAAUUAAAUUAUGAUUAUCUAAGUUUGAAGUCAAGUCUUUAUGAUCUGUAUGCUCUAGGCUGCACACGUGUUACAAACGGAAAAACACUCUACUCUACAACUUAAAAGUUAAAGAAUUAGUAAAAAUUCCGUUUUUUAGAUUGUUAAUUUUUAGUCAUUAACAUGAAAAUGAAAUCGUCAGUAAUCGCACUUCAGAAUGUUGCGGUGAAGAAAAGUUAAGUUUGCACACACCGCCCAUCACGCUCAGAGAAUUUUACUGAUUUAAGGGUUUUAAAAUUGCAAGGGGUCACUAACAAAUAUACCCGCGUAUGCUUAAUAACUGAUUCAUGUAAGGUAAUUGGAGUGAAG
The sequence is a ribosomal RNA, 863 nucleotides long. It matches the Rfam family "Bacterial small subunit ribosomal RNA", at positions 524 to 1485 of the family's 1533-position model.